Macadamia integrifolia is the source of this 3190-nucleotide long non-coding RNA. RefSeq lists it as uncharacterized. The transcript has 2 exons. The record is from RefSeq and is a predicted model, not a curated record. NCBI's taxonomy places the organism in Eukaryota, Viridiplantae, Streptophyta, Magnoliopsida, Proteales, Proteaceae.
UCGUAUCAGAGCAGCACAUGCUCCUCUAAGUGAAAACCCCUCUUUCCACUGAAACCCUCCUCUUUUUCCGCUGAAAUCUUGAUUUCUCGAUUUCAACCCUUAUCUUCUUGAUUUUCUUGCUCAAGAUCCUGGCUAUGGCAUCUCUUUCUCUUGUUACCAGCUCUGAUUCUACAUCUUCUUCUCCGCUGAUCUCUGAAACGUCUCUCCUCAACUUCCUCUCAAGUUGAACGCCACCAAUUAUCUGCUAUGGCGAGCAUAGUUUCUUCCGCUUCUUUGCGGCUACAACCUCCUUGGAUACGUUGACGGUUCCUUCCCUAGGCCUUCUAGUCCUGAUGCAUCCUCCUCUUUUGGGACUGAUUUGGGAGUCUUAUGGGAUAGUCAAGACCAACUGAUCCUCAGUUGGAUAAUUUCUUCCUUAUCAGAGUCGAUCCUCUCUCAUGUGAUCAGCUCUGCGACCUCACAUGAUGCCUAGGAAACACUCACUCGACUUUUUGCUCUGUCCUCUCGAACUCAUAUAAUGGAUUUGAAGGACCAGUUACUUCGUGUUCACCGUGGUUCUGAUCCUAUUAACACAUAUCUUCUCUCUGUUCGUACCAUUGCUGAUACCUUGGCAGCCAUUGACCAUCCUGUAGAUGAUGAAGAUUUUGUUCUUGCUGUUCUUCGUGUUUUAGGAUUGGAAUACAAGGAUUUUGCUACUUCCAUCAGGCUUCGUACCUCUCCAAUUAGUUUUACAGAUCUCUCUGGUUUAUUGAUCAGCCAUGAAAUGUUCCUCAAGAACACAGAAGAUGUUGCUAAAGGAAUAUCCACCGCCAAUCUAGCCUCGGUUGCCUCUGCAGAUUCUUCGCAACACUUGGCUGAUGUAUCCCGAGGUUCUUCUUAAGGAUCUCGUCGUCAUGGCAAUCGGUUCUCUCGGUUUCAUGGUAGACGUCCAUACUACUCUACCAAUCACUCCAACUAUGGUUACAAUGAUCAAAACAACUAUAACAAUCGUUUUCAAGACCAAAACGGAUCUGCUACGCGGUAUCAGAAUCAGAAUCAGAAUCAACAUUCUCAUGUCAAUCGAGGUCAUCAGGGAUCUCCUUCUCCAUUCCUUCAUUCUAGAAUGCCUUGUCAAAUCUACAAUCAGGAUGGACAUUAGGCUGCACAUUGUCCUCAACGCUUCAAUCAGGCUUUUCUUGACCUCAGUAAUCUCACCCUCACUACUCCCUACGGUGGUUCUGAUCAAAUAGUUGUGGGCAAUGGUCAAGGUUUGUUUAUUUCCAAUGUUGGAUCAUCUUUAAUUAAUACUACCGCUCAUGAAUUUUCUCUCCCUACAGUCUUACAUGUUCCUCAGACUCAGCGUAAUUUACUUUCUGUUCAUCAGUUUACUAGAGACAACAAUGUUUCAAUUGAAUUUUUUUCUUCUCAUUUCUUGGUGAAGGAUCUUCAGAUGAAUCGUGUCCUCUACCACGGCCAGAGUGACAAUGGUCUUUACCAGUUACCUGCAGCUGAUUCCAAGUUUUCUUCCACUCUUUCUGCCAUUCGUGCUCCACUUGCUGAUUGGCACUCACGUCUGGGGCACCCUUCAUACCAGACGGUUCAAAGUGUUAUCUCUCAAUUCCAUCUUCCAAUCUCCAACAUGUCAUCUUCAACCUACCGUGCGUGUCAAUGCUCCAAGAGUCACAAAUUGCCUUUCUCUUUGUCAUCUACAGUAAGUCAUGCUCCAUUGGAGCUUGUCCACUGUGACGUUUGGGGACCAACCCCAUUUGUUUCUUUUGAUGGUAACAGAUAUUAUGCCAUUUUUGUUGAUGACUUUAGUUGAUACUGUUGGUUGUACCCUAUGAACCUUAAAUCUGAUGUGUAUUCAAUCUUUGUUCGUUUCAAAUUGCUAGUUGAAUUUUUUUCUUGCUCCAUUAAGUGUUUGCACACUGAUGGUGGUGGUGAAUUUGAAAAGCUAUCUCCAUUUCUUCAGUCUCAUGGUAUAUCUCGUCUGAUUUCAUGUCCCCACACUCAAGAACAAAAUGGUAUUGCGGAAUGUAAACACCACCACAUUGUUGAAUCUGGCCUUGCGUUACUAUUUCAUGCUCAUCUUCCUCCUCAAUAUUGGUCAUAUGCAUUUCUCACCUCCGUGUAUCUCAUAAAUCGCCUUCUGCCUCCUAUUUUGGGAAACCGAUGUCCUCUUCAAUGUCUUUUUUCUUCAGACCCAAAUUUUUCCUUGUUACGCACUUUUGGCUGUGCUUAUUAUCCGUGGUUGAGACCCUAUUCCAAGAAUAAACUGGAACCAUGCUCCACACCUUGUAUUUUCAUUGGAUAUUCUCUCUCUCAUAAGGGUUAUCAUUGCCUUGAUGUAGCUAAGAACUGGAUCUAUGUAUCUAGGCAUGUUGUGUUUGAUGAGCGCAUGUUUCCUUUUUCUAAACUUCCAACAACCAGGGACACUUCCUCUCCCUCUGUUACUGAUCCAUGGUAUACUCCGUCACCUCCGGUUCUUCUCCCCUACUCUAAUUCUCCUUGCCCCAGCUAAUGUCAUAGGCUAUUUGCCCACUUCUAUUUCUCAUUGUUCUAUUCAACCAUCUAUUCUAGGCCCAGGCCCAGGCCCAGGACCAAUUUCUGAUACUCCUUUGGGCCAAGUCAUCUCCUCAUCUAAUGGGCCUGACCCACCUAACAACUCCUUAUUUCCUAAUGGGUCUUCAUUACUCCAGCCAACACCAACCACUUCUUUGCAUCCUUCUCUAAUGGGCCACUCUCCUCCUUUGGAUCGAGAUUCUUCUCCUACUACAUCCCCCUAUAGCUCCCCUGCUUCUGAACCAUCAGUACCACCAUCAUCUAUUGCACCUCUAUCCACUCACCCUAUGCAAAUAAGAUCAUGUACUGGUUCACUUAAAGUACCGGCUCCUCGGUUGACCUUGUCUACAAGCAAUGAAGUCGAUUCAUUGGCGUUUUGCAAUGCAAGAUGAAUUUGAUGCGUUUCUCAAAAAUGGCACUUGGAAUUUGCUCCCAGCUACUGCUGCUUAAAACGUUAUUGGCUAUAAGUGGGUAUUUUGGGUAAAACGCAAGUCUGAUGGGAGUGUUGAGCACUGCAAAGCGCGAUUAGUUGCCAAAGGCUUCCAUCAGCGCCUUGGAUUGGAUUAUAAGGAAACCUUCAGUCCGGUUAUUAAACCUGCUACGAUUCGUCUUAUAUUGUCCUUGGCACAACAAAUGGUUAGCCAUUAAA